UAUUGAUUGAUAAAGUUGAACAGCAUUUAUUUAUUAACAGUUAGGCCCCAUCACUAACUAAUCUGUGUAACAUGUGAUGGCGUGUGUGUAAGAGGCCACCAACUGUAAAUGGAGUAGAACAGGAGAACACUGAAAACAAGAUUCUGAGGUACAAUGCUGGAGAACAAAGUAAAGCGGCAAGACAAAGUACCUCCAACAGACGACUUGAAGCUAUAUUGCCAAUGUACGGAAACAAACAAGUGAUGGAAUCUCUAUGUGAAAAAAUUGAUGAAGAUGGGAAUUGGUACUGCACUGUGUGUCAGAGUGACCUGGAGAGAUUUGAACAAUGCUACAAUGUUGAAGGAGGAUAUUUUGAGCAUCUAAGAGAUUCAAUUGUUGAUGUUUAUGUGAACAGGUCUACAGAACAUAUUUCCCCCUGUUCUAGUGUCGAAUUUUCAAAUGAAUAGACUAUGUGAUAACUGUAAACCUACUUUUGGGCCACCAUGUAUACAGAUCUAUAUAAGAAGGGGAAGCAACAAUUUUAACAUUUCAAUAAGUGCUGAUCUUUUUUUUUUAAUCAAAAUCUUUAGUUUUUUUGUUGUUUUUCAUACUUCCCACAACCCCCCAAAUAUCUUUAUUAUUAUUUUUUCUAUUACUUCCUUCUAAGAAUUUUAAACUUAUAUUAUACAGUCUUACUGUAAAAAAAGGUUAAUUAUUAACAAUCAGAAUCAAACAAGAGUCAGACAUUAGCUCUGGAGGCUUUUAAAUUAAAAAUAAAUUAAUUAAAUAAAU
Biomphalaria glabrata is the source of this 771-nucleotide long non-coding RNA. RefSeq lists it as uncharacterized. Lineage: Eukaryota; Metazoa; Mollusca; Gastropoda; Planorbidae. The transcript has 3 exons. The record is from RefSeq and is a predicted model, not a curated record.